AGAACGAACGCUGGCGGCAGGCCUAACACAUGCAAGUCGAACGCCCCGCAAGGGGAGUGGCAGACGGGUGAGUAACACGUGGGAACGUGCCCAAAGGUACGGAACAACUCCGGGAAACUGGAGCUAAUACCGUAUGUGCCCGAAAGGGGAAAGAUUCAUCGCCUUUGGAUUGGCCCGCGUCUGAUUAGCUAGUUGGCGGGGUAAUGGCCCACCAAGGCGACGAUCAGUAGCUGGUCUGAGAGGAUGACCAGCCACACUGGGACUGAGACACGGCCCAGACUCCUACGGGAGGCAGCAGUGGGGAAUAUUGGACAAUGGGCGCAAGCCUGAUCCAGCCAUGCCGCGUGAGUGAUGAAGGCCUUAGGGUUGUAAAGCUCUUUCGCCAGGGACGAUAAUGACGGUACCUGGAUAAGAAGCCCCGGACUAACUUCGUGCCAGCAGCCGC
Molecule: ribosomal RNA, 445 nt
Filed under: uncultured soil bacterium
Lineage: Bacteria
Description: bacterial SSU rRNA
Rfam family: Bacterial small subunit ribosomal RNA
Source: RNAcentral